UACGAACCGUCCAAACGUUGUUCGGAAUUACUGGGCUUAAAGGGUUCGUAGGCGGCCUUGUAAGUGGGGUGUGAAAUCCCUCGGCUCAACCGAGGAAUAGCGCUCCAAACUGCAAGGCUUGAGGGAGACAGGGGUAAGCGGAACUGAUGGUGGAGCGGUGAAAUGCGUUGAUAUCAUCAGGAACACCGGUGGCGAAAGCGGCUUACUGGGUCUCUUCUGACGCUGAGGAACGAAAGCUAGGGUAGCGAACGGG
Molecule: ribosomal RNA, 253 nt
Filed under: uncultured bacterium
Lineage: Bacteria
Description: partial 16S ribosomal RNA
Rfam family: Bacterial small subunit ribosomal RNA
Source: RNAcentral